RNAcentral lists this long non-coding RNA (915 nucleotides) under Callithrix jacchus (white-tufted-ear marmoset). Its description in RNAcentral is "lncRNA (ENSCJAG00000077594.1)". Lineage: Eukaryota; Metazoa; Chordata; Mammalia; Primates; Cebidae. The record is from RNAcentral.
AUUUCUAAAUAAUAUAAGAAAACGGAAACAAUUACUACAAAGAAAAAGAGAGACGCAACCAAUAUUCCAAAUGUUCUGGUGCUAAAGAUUCUUGAGGAAGAAAUAUAGAGAAGCAUAUUAGAAGAGAACUGGAAAGGAGGACGUAUUUUGAAAUACAAAAUUAAAGAAAAAGAAAGAGUUGAGGAUGUAUGGUGGCACAAAAGAAUAAGAGAUGGAGUUUCUCACUACUGCCCAGGCUGGAGUGCAAUGGCAAAAUCUUGGCUCACUGCAACCUCAACCUCCCAGGUUCAAGCGAUUCUUCUGCCUCAGCUUCCUGAGCAACUGAGAUUACAGCUCAGAGACCUAUGUGUGGGUGCUUUCAAAUGUAUACAUUAUCAAUCGAACGACUCAAGAUGGCACGGUGAGAACAACCCAGGAUUGAAGCUCUCAGUGAACACGCGGAGGGCUGAACUUUCUGAAUUUGGUAUGAGAAGCAAUGAUCAGGAGACACAGAGCUGGAUAAACCUUCUCAUGAAAGUAUAUACUCACUCGUAAGUCUGGAUUUCAGAAAGUUGCUGGAAAAAAUGAAUACAACUUUAUAAUGAAGCAAAGAGAUUUGGUUUAUGGCUGAUAAUGCCUGAAGGAAGGGUCUAUUCUCAUGGCAAGCUGAUGUCUACAACUCAGAUAGAUACCGCCAAGUUCUCAUGGAAUUAUGGCUAAUGUCCAUUGAUUGAACAAAAAAAUAAGAGUGAAUAAAAACUAAACAAUUUAAAACCACAUUUUGUGUAGUCAACAUCUUUAAUACCAACAGCAGACCCAGAAGCAGAACUCAGAAUGGCAGAAUAUCAGGUGAUACACACUAUAUGAUUGAAUAAUGCAAGCCCACAACUAGUGCUUUGAUUAAGAACCAUAAAAAUAGGAGUCAAAGUAAAUGCC